AAAGGCGUCCGGCAGCUUAGAAUUAACCUACCGCCGAGAAUGCAGGUCUCGCACAAAAAAAGGCUGUAUGAAUGAAGAAGGAACAAAAGAAUGGGUGCAAAUGCCUAAACAAGCCCUUUAAGACCAGAGUCAGAACACAAUAUCAGGCUUGGAUGGUGAACGGACUCUUCACUUACACGCGAUCUGUUCAACACAGGCAAGGGCUCCUGCAGGAAACAACACAAUGGAGAUAUAAUGACUAUGGCUUAAUUCCAAGAAAAGAACCAGAAAUCAUUGAAAGCUAACUUAUUACAGACCAGGAAAGACAAAGCAACUAAAUGGAAAGAAUAAACAGGCCCUAUUAGGUUUCAGUUAGAUUAGUUUUUGAUAAUUGAAACUUCUGAGGACAUUUGAGUUGAGACUAACAAUUCCCACAAAAUCACUAAGAGAUAUAGAUAUAACAAGACAUGCCAUGGGAAAACACAAAAAGGAAAAUCACUUUUUUUUAUUUGAUAAUGGUACAUUUUUUGGUUAACUUUUUUAGAACUGGGUUUAAUUUCAACUUCAAUCAAAAUACAAGAGACUCAAGCUACAGUUUAAAGUUCACCAACAAUAAGAUUUACUCAUGCUGUCUCUAGUUACAUUCUUAUUACAUGUAUUAUAGCCUUUAAAGUUGAGUUAUACUUGAUGAAUGAGGAAAGUUUCCUUACAGU
This is a non-coding RNA of Pocillopora verrucosa, 692 nucleotides long. Lineage: Eukaryota; Metazoa; Cnidaria; Anthozoa; Scleractinia; Pocilloporidae. The record is from RefSeq and is a predicted model, not a curated record.